CAAGAGGAUUCUUCCAACAUGGAUAUUUUACAUAUUGAAACAGAUAUAACAAGUUAUGUUAUAUCUGGAAAAACAUUAAAAUAUGUUUGCAGAACUUGUUUACAAAAUCAAAAUAAUAUGUUAUCAAUAUUUUCACGCAAUGAAGAUGUUCAUAAAACACAUGCUGAAAUUUUAAUGGCAUUCACUCCCAUCAACAUUUCAGAAAAUGAUGGCCAUUCAAAUUAUAUUUGUUCUACCUGCGUUGAAUUCAUUGUUUCGGUCUACACAUUUCAACAACAUUGUAUCCAAGUUGAUGCAAUUUUACGAUUUGCCGCUGUAAACAUUAGCCAAGAGGAUGAAACCUCCGUAAACGAUACUAAAACCGACCAUUCAAAGGAAUUGAAUUCUACAAAAAUGGAAUUAACAACGCCCGAAAAUGUUUUAAAGAUUUUUUCAGUGGAAUUAAGCGAUAAAAAAAUUGAAUUAAAAGAAGAAACGUCUGAAAAAGAAGAAUCGAUAAUUUGUGAAAUUUGUGGAGAUGAAUUACUUGACGGAGAAAAUUUAAACGAACAUAUAAAAAAUCAUAAAAAUAAUUUACCCUGUGAUAUUAAAAAUGAAAACAAAAAAACUGAAAAUGCAACGUCUUAUACGUGCACAUUUUGUGAUAUAUCGUUCAAAUCAAGGCCAAAUUUAAAAACACAUGAAAUCAAAUGGCAUCCAGAAAUGCGUAAUAUAAAAACUGAAUACAAUUGUGAAAUAUGUGGUCGAAUAUUUUCCACACGUAGCAGUUUAAACCAACAUUGUAUUACCCAUAAUAAUAAUUCGAAAUAUGAAUGUGAUUGUGGGAAAAAAUUCAAACGCUAUAGUAGUUUGAUCUUACAUAAACGAUCAUCACAUUCGGCUAUUCGACCCUAUCAAUGUAAUGAAUGUGGGAAAACGUUUGCCCAAAAUGUUGUACUUAAAAAUCAUAAAUUAACACAUAACGGAGAUAAACCGUAUAAAUGUAAUUAUUGUGAGAAACAUUUUCGUCAAAAACCGCAUGUACAAUCGCAUGAAUUAAUACAUACGGGUGGUAAACCGUAUCAUUGUUUAAUAUGUGGUAAACAAUUUCGUCAUCAAAAUUCACUUAUACAUCAUAAUCGUAUUCACACCGGAGAGAAUCCAUUUCAUUGUCCAGUAUGUAAUCGUGGUUUUUAUCAUUCAACAAAUAUGAAAAAACAUUUACUGUCACACACUAAAAAUAAGAAAGCAAGGUGAUAAUAAUAAUAAUAAUAAAUAGCCUGAUUUAGCUCCCUUGGGCAAAGGCCUCCCCUAGUACAUUUCACGAUUUUCUAUUUUUAGCCGUUCUGCUCCACAAAUCUCCUGCAUACCUUGUAAUUUCAUUUCUCCACCUAGUUGGUGGCCGACCUCUUUUACGUGCUAGAUUUAAUGGUACCCAUGAUGUAUAUCUAGUCGAUUAUCGUUUAGCCUUGAAACAUACCCAGCCCAUUUCCACUUCAAUUUUUUGAUACAGACAAUUACGUCCUUGACAUUUGUUAUUGAUCUAAUAGUAUUAGAUCUAACCUUAUUAGCAAGCCUAUCUCUUAUUUGUCGAUUUUUAUAAGGCUUUAGAUACUGUCGAACAUUGCUAUGUUUUAAAAUCUCUAAAAGCCUUGGGGUCCCUGAUAAGUUUACCCGAAUAAUAAAAAGUAUGAAGGGUGCACUGCACAGAUAAAAACGGAACGAUUAGGAGAAAAAUUUUCUUUACAACGCGGGGUUCGUCAAGGCGAUCCUUUGUCUGCGAAAUUGUUCAAUGCUGUUUUUAAUCAUGUUUUCAGUUUACUCGAUUGGCAUCGUUAUGGAAUAAAGGUCGAUGGGUUGAGAUUAUCAAACCUGAAAUUUGCGGAUGAUAUUGUCUUCUCUGACAAGAUACAUGAUUUACAAAUAAUGUUGAACCAACUAGCUCUUAGAAGUAAACUCGUAGGCCUAAAAAUUAAUGUCCAAAAAACAAAAUGGAUGUCAAAUGCAAACGAAGAUAAUCACAACCUUCGACUUAUUCUACAAAAUGAAACCAUAGAACGAGUGAAUGAGUUUAAAUAUCUGGGAAUAAAAGAGAAUAAUGAAUGCGUGGAGAAAAUUUUCCGAUAGAUAUCUUUAAAAGUAAACUGCACAUUUCUUUAAAAACAAAGGCCUGGAAUGCGUGUAUUCUACCGAUUUUAACGUACGGUACCCAAACCUCAGCGCUAACCGUCUCAAAUUAUAAAAAACUCAGGACAUGCCAAAGGAGUAUGGUCUAUGCUAAAUUACAGACUUACUAAUAAGAAAGCAAGGAUGUUUUGUAAUGGUAUGCCGAAGCAUGUUGAUGAAUAAAC
This is an RNA transcript of Chrysoperla carnea, 2330 nucleotides long. It is a transcript of the gene named zinc finger protein 625-like, with no coding region annotated. Lineage: Eukaryota; Metazoa; Arthropoda; Insecta; Neuroptera; Chrysopidae. The record is from RefSeq and is a predicted model, not a curated record. The transcript is spliced from 3 exons.